UAACGGGGGGCUGCAGUGGGGAAUUUUGCGCAAUGGGCGAAAGCCUGACGCAGCAAUACCGCGUGAGUGAAGAAGGCCUUUGGGUCGUAAAGCUCUUUUGUAAGGGAAGAUAGUGACGGUACCUUACGAAUAAGCACCGGCUAACUCCGUGGCCAGCAGCCGCGGUAAUACGGAGGGUGCAAGCGUUGUUCGGAUUUACUGGGCGUAAAGGGCACGUAGGCGGCAUAGUAAGUUAAGGGUGAAAUCCCGGGGCUCAACUCCGGAACUGCUCUUAAAACUGCUAAGCUAGAGAUAGUCAGAGGCGGGUAGAAUUCCUGGUGUAGAGGUGAAAUUCGUAGAUAUCAGGAGGAAUACCGGCGGCGAAGGCGGCCCGCUGGGGCUAUUCUGACGCUAAGGUGCGAAAGCGUGGGGAGCAAACGGGAUUAGAUACCCGGGUAGUC
RNAcentral lists this ribosomal RNA (440 nucleotides) under uncultured bacterium. RNAcentral describes it as "partial 16S ribosomal RNA". It matches the Rfam family "Bacterial small subunit ribosomal RNA", at positions 339 to 795 of the family's 1533-position model. The record is from RNAcentral.